GACGAACGCUGGCGGCGUGCUUAACACAUGCAAGUCGAACGGAAAGGCCCUGCUUUUGUGGGGUGCUCGAGUGGCGAACGGGUGAGUAACACGUGAGUAACCUGCCCUUGACUUUGGGAUAACUUCAGGAAACUGGGGCUAAUACCGGAUAGGAGCUCCUGCUGCAUGGUGGGGGUUGGAAAGUUUCGGCGGUUGGGGAUGGACUCGCGGCUUAUCAGCUUGUUGGUGGGGUAGUGGCUUACCAAGGCUUUGACGGGUAGCCGGCCUGAGAGGGUGACCGGCCACAUUGGGACUGAGAGACGGCCCAGACUCCUACGGGAGGCAGCAGGGGGGAAUAUUGCAGAAUGGGCGGAAGCCUGAUGCAGCAACGCCGCGUGCGGGAUGACGGCCUUCGGGUUGUAAACCGCUUUCGCCUGUGACGAAGCGUGAGUGACGGUAAUGGGUAAAGAAGCACCGGCUAACUACGUG
Molecule: ribosomal RNA, 468 nt
Filed under: uncultured bacterium
Lineage: Bacteria
Description: partial 16S ribosomal RNA
Rfam family: Bacterial small subunit ribosomal RNA
Source: RNAcentral